This 443-nucleotide ribosomal RNA is filed under the name uncultured bacterium. Its description in RNAcentral is "partial 16S ribosomal RNA". It matches the Rfam family "Bacterial small subunit ribosomal RNA", at positions 338 to 795 of the family's 1533-position model. The record is from RNAcentral.
CCUACGGGGUGCAGCAGUGGGGAAUAUUGGGCAAUGGAGGCAACUCUGACCCAGCAACGCCGCGUGAAUGAUGAAGGCCUUCGGAUUGUAAAGUUCUGUGAUGGGGGAUGAACCCAAUGACGGUACUCCAAUAGCAAGCCAUGCCUAACUACGUGCCAGCAGCCGCGUUAAUACGAAGGUGGCAAGCGUUAUCCGGAAUGAAUGGGCGAAAAGUGUUCGUAGGUGGUUUAGUAAGUUGACGGUGUAAUUCCGGGGCUCAACCUCGGCGCUACCGCCAAAACUAUUAGACUAGAGUGCAGGAGGGGUAAGUGGAAUGCGUAGUGUAGCGGUGGAAUGCGUAGAUAUUAGGAGGAACAUCAGGGGCGAAGGCGACUUACUGGACUGUAACUGACGCUGAGGCACGAAAGCGUGGGGAGCAAACAGGAUUAGAUACCCUUGUAGUC